Pelobates cultripes (western spadefoot toad) is the source of this 139-nucleotide non-coding RNA. NCBI's taxonomy places the organism in Eukaryota, Metazoa, Chordata, Amphibia, Anura, Pelobatidae. The record is from the annotation of a GenBank genome assembly.
AUAACAAUACAGGACUGUAAUUGGAAUGAGUACAUUUUAAAUUGUUUAACGAGGAUCUAUGAGAGGGUAAGUCUGGUGCAGAGUGACUGACCCGUGCGUGCUGCAGCUGAAACUCCACUAUCGCCUGCUGCUGCUCACA